RNAcentral lists this transfer RNA (73 nucleotides) under Myotis lucifugus (little brown bat). It matches the Rfam family "tRNA". Rfam says of the family: Transfer RNA (tRNA) molecules are approximately 80 nucleotides in length. Lineage: Eukaryota; Metazoa; Chordata; Mammalia; Chiroptera; Vespertilionidae. The record is from Rfam by way of RNAcentral.
GCCCAGGUAGCUCAGUUUGGUUAGAGUGUUGUUGGAAAUUCUAAGGUUGCAGGUUCGAUCCCUGGUCAAGGCA